This 274-nucleotide ribosomal RNA is filed under the name uncultured bacterium. RNAcentral's name for it is "partial 16S ribosomal RNA". It matches the Rfam family "Bacterial small subunit ribosomal RNA", at positions 523 to 796 of the family's 1533-position model. The record is from RNAcentral.
AUACGAAGGUCCCAAGCGUUAUUCGGAAUCACUGGGCGUAAAGAGUACGUAGGCGGUUUGGUAAGUCAGGUGUGAAAUCCCGGAGCUCAACUCCGGAACUGCAUCCGAUACCGCCAGACUUGAGUAAUGGAGAGGCAGGUGGAAUUCUCGGUGUAGCAGUGAAAUGCGUGGAUAUCGAGAGGAAGACCAAUGGCGAAGGCAGCCUGCUGGACAUUUACUGACGCUGAGGUACGAAGGCUAGGGGAGCGAAAGGGAUUAGAAACCCCAGUAGUCC